RNAcentral lists this unclassified non-coding RNA (282 nucleotides) under Mizuhopecten yessoensis (Yesso scallop). RNAcentral describes it as "e3 ubiquitin-protein ligase TRIM33-like, transcript variant X2". The record is from RNAcentral. Lineage: Eukaryota; Metazoa; Mollusca; Bivalvia; Pectinida; Pectinidae.
CGUGUUCGGUCGGGACAAGGAAGAAAGUGUUGUAUUUUGAAAACACAGACCUGUCUGCGCCUUAAUGAUCAUAUCUUAUGUUCGCACGGUUAAAGUUGAACCAAUCUGAUCCUCAUAAUGGCUGAAGGCGGACCCUGUCCGGAACUAAACUUACACUUACUACAGUGUCCAAUCUGUCUUGAGCGACUGCGACAACCGAAGUCCUUACCAUGUCUCCAUUGCUUCUGUCAGGAUUGCCUGGGGACCUACAUCAUCAAGGAGUUGUCUGGUAAGAUGGCUUCG